GACGAACGCUGGCGGCGUGCCUAAUACAUGCAAGUAGAACGCUGAAGCGAGGAGCUUGCUCUUCUUGGAUGAGUUGCGAACGGGUGAGUAACGCGUAGGUAACCUGCCUUGUAGCGGGGGAUAACUAUUGGAAACGAUAGCUAAUACCGCAUAACACUGGAUGACACAUGUCAUUUAUUUGAAAGGGGCAAUUGCUCCACUACAAGAUGGACCUGCGUUGUAUUAGCUAGUAGGUGAGGUAAUGGCUCACCUAGGCGACGAUACAUAGCCGACCUGAGAGGGUGUUCGGCCACACUUGGACUGGGACACGGCCCAGAAUCCGACGGGGGGCAGCAGUAGGGAAUCAGCGGCAAUGGGGGCAACCCUGACCGAGCAACGCCGCGUGAGUGAAGAAGGUUUUCGGAUCGUAAAGCUCUGUUGUAAGUCAAGAACGGGUGUGAGAGUGGAAAGUUCACACUGUGACGGUAGCUUACCAGAAAGGGACGGCUAACUACGUG
Molecule: ribosomal RNA, 497 nt
Filed under: uncultured bacterium
Lineage: Bacteria
Description: partial 16S ribosomal RNA
Rfam family: Bacterial small subunit ribosomal RNA
Source: RNAcentral